RNAcentral lists this long non-coding RNA (296 nucleotides) under Elaeis guineensis (African oil palm). RNAcentral's name for it is "long non-coding RNA (EGUI_LNC078242)". The record is from RNAcentral. Lineage: Eukaryota; Viridiplantae; Streptophyta; Magnoliopsida; Arecales; Arecaceae.
GUGUAGUUCGGAUUGGAGUUGAACCUGGCUGGAAAGAGUCUGGAAGGGAUUCGGGGAACGGUUGAUAGUCGUAGAAAGUCGGCUGGCGGCGGAGCUCAGUGAGCACUUGGGGCGGCUUAAUAGAUGACUGGGGGAACUCAUGUUGAAGGAGCUCGGGUGGUGCAGUGGGAGUUCGUCCGUCGGAGAAAUUCAAUCAGCACCGUGGGAAUCCGACUGUUGGAGAAAUUCGAAGAGAUACCAUCUACGGUCGAAAGCCGGAGGAGUCCUGGGAGGGUCAAUCCUGUCAAGAACUUCGG